UAGUUUUUUGUUUACUAUAUUUUGUUGUAUUUUUAUAUUAUUUGUUAAAAUUAAUUUUACUUAUUUAUUUCUUAGUAUUUUAUAUAGAACUGAGUUUUGUUAGUAAUAGUUUAUUAGUAUUGUAAAAGAAUAUUGAAAUAGUUUGAAAAAUUAGUUUUGUUAAAGAAGAUUUCGGUUAUUGUACCUUGUGUAUCAGGGUUUAUCUAAUAUUUAAUAUUUAUUUAUUUAUCUCGAUUUUAAAUGAUUUAGUGAUUCAAUUUAGUUAAUGUUGUAUAAUUAUUAUUAAUGGGUUGCUGGAAAUGAUAAGUUAUUCGUUUUUAAAUAUAUCUAGUUUUCUAAGAAAUGAAUUUAAUUCAUUUAAUAUAAAUGAGUUAUUCUUUAUUUUUUGCAGGAUAAUUAUUUUAUUUUAUUUAUAUAUUAUGGGAUAAGCUUUAAUAUAAAUGUUUAAAAGAAACUUGUAUUUUGGCUUAUUUAUAGGCUUAGAAUUAGCUAUUGAUUGUGAUUUUGUUAUAAAUUAUUUAUUUGAUAUGUAUAUAUUAUUUAUUUUUUUCUUUAGAUUGUUUAUUGGAAUUUUUACUUUAAUUUUUUAAGUUGGGUAAUAGUGAUGGAAUUAGUAUAUUUAAUUAUGUUUUUAAUAGACGGGUUUGUAAGGUUAGUGUAAAUAAUUCGGCAAAUUUGAUUCUCGCCUGUUUAUCAAAAACAUGUCCUAUAGAUUUUAUUUUAGGUCUGACCUGCCCACUGAUUUUUUAAAAGGCCGCAGAAUUUUAACUGUGCAAAGGUAGCAUAAUCACUAGUUUUUUAAUUGAAAGCUUGAAUGAAUGGUUGGACGAGGGAUCUGCUGUUUCACAUUGAUUUAUAGAAUUUUAUUUUUGAGUUAAAAAGCUUAAAUUUUUUUAAAAGACGAGAAGACCCUAUAGAUUUUUAUAAUUAUUUUAUUUUAUUUGUUAAGAUUUUGUUAAUUUAUAAAAUUAAAUUAUUUAUUUUGUUGGGGUGACAAAGAAAUUUAUUAAACUUUCUUUAUUUUAUGAACUAUGAUUUUUGGUUUUAGUGAUCCUUUAUUUAAGAUUGUAAGAUUAAGUUACCUUAGGGAUAACAGCGUAAUUUUUCUGUAGAGUUCAUAUCGAUGGGAAAGAUUGCGACCUCGAUGUUGGAUUAAGAUAUAGGACUAGGCGCAGCAGUUUAGUUUUUAAGUCUGUUCGACUUGUUAUUUCUUACAUGAUCUGAGUUCAGACCGGCGUGAGCCAGGUUGGUUUCUAUCUUUAAUUAGUUAAAAUAUUUUAGUACGAAAGGACCAGAUAUUUGGAAUAUUUUUAUUUAAUUGAAUGCUAUUAA
RNAcentral lists this ribosomal RNA (1332 nucleotides) under Clephydroneura sp. RNAcentral's name for it is "16S ribosomal RNA". The stretch from base 896 to 1261 matches the Rfam family "Bacterial large subunit ribosomal RNA", at positions 2075 to 2645 of the family's 2925-position model. The record is from RNAcentral. Lineage: Eukaryota; Metazoa; Arthropoda; Insecta; Diptera; Asilidae.